RNAcentral lists this ribosomal RNA (462 nucleotides) under uncultured bacterium. RNAcentral describes it as "bacterial SSU rRNA". It matches the Rfam family "Bacterial small subunit ribosomal RNA", at positions 29 to 506 of the family's 1533-position model. The record is from RNAcentral.
ACGAACGCUGGCGGCGUGCUUAACACAUGCAAGUCGAGCGGUAAGGCCCUUUCGGGGGUACACGAGCGGCGAACGGGUGAGUAACACGUGGGUGACCUGCCCUCCACUCUGGGAUAAGCCCGGGAAACUGGGUCUAAUACCGGAUAGGACCACUGAUCGCAUGGUUGGUGGUGGAAAGUUUUUUCGGUGGGGGAUGGGCCCGCGGCCUAUCAGCUUGUUGGUGGGGUGAUGGCCUACCAAGGCGGUGACGGGUAGCCGGCCUGGGAGGGCGACCGGCCACACUGGGACUGAGACACGGCCCAGACUCCUACGGGAGGCAGCAGUGGGGAAUAUUGCGCAAUGGGCGGAAGCCUGACGCAGCGACGCCGCGUGGGGGAUGACGGCCUUCGGGUUGUAAACCUCUUUCGCCAGGGACGAAGAGCAAUUGACGGUACCUGGAGAAGAAGCACCGGCCAACUACGU